CCCCUGGGCGCAGCCUGAUCCAGCAUGCCGCGUGAGUGAAGAAGGCCUUCGGGUUGUAAAGCUCUUUUGUCAGGGAAGAAACGGCUCAGGCUAAUAUCUUGAGCUAAUGACGGUACCUGAAGAAUAAGCACCGGCUAACUACGUGCCAGCAGCCGCGGUAAUACGUAGGGUGCAAGCGUUAAUCGGAAUUACUGGGCGUAAAGCGUGCGCAGGCGGUUUUGUAAGUCUGACGUGAAAUCCCCGGGCUCAACCUGGGAAUUGCGUUGGAGACUGCAAGGCUGGAGUCUGGCAGAGGGGGGUAAAAUUCCACGUGUAGCAGUGAAAUGCGUAAAGAUGUGGAGGAACACCGAUGGCGAAGGCAGCCCCCUGGGUCAAGACUGACGCUCAUGCACGAAAGCGUGGGGAGCAAACAGGAUUAGAUACCCUGGUAGUCCACGCCCUAAACGAUGUCUACUAGUUGUCGGGUUUUAAUUAACUUGGUAACGCACCUAACGCGUGAAGUAGACCGCCUGGGGAGUACGGUCGCAAGAUUAAAACUCAAAUGAAAUUGACGGA
Molecule: ribosomal RNA, 555 nt
Filed under: Massilia consociata
Lineage: Bacteria; Pseudomonadati; Pseudomonadota; Betaproteobacteria; Burkholderiales; Oxalobacteraceae
Description: bacterial SSU rRNA
Rfam family: Bacterial small subunit ribosomal RNA
Source: RNAcentral